GCCUACUAGCCUGAUUCCCGUUUACACCAAAGGCAGUGUAAGUAAAGACCUUCAGGUGUUAUAAAUUACACUUUGAAGCUCUUUACAUUGCUAAGCUCAUAAGGUAGCUUUAAUGUAACAGAGAGCCAGGCACUAUUGACUUUAGAUCUAUGACAAGUUCAGUCACCAUGUAGCAGCUGGAGAAUAGCCAGGACAGGACCCAUUGACCUUCUCCACAAUAUUAUGGGGACAUGGGUCCUCUCCAGCUUCCCUGUCUUGACAUACAGGUGUGAAGCUGCACAGGUGCCUUCAAUGCCCCGGAGAGAUGAGAUGGGAUGGCAAGAAGUGGAGGCUGCAAGCACCAGCCAAGACUCUGGAUGUAGGAUGCUGACACAUCUGGUGGGACAAUGUUCUCUGCACAGCAUCUCCUCUGAAAGGGCAGUGUGUGACUGGAUGGAAAUAUCACAGCAGCCAGGCCAGCCUAUGUCUUGCCCCAUGGACCAUGUAGGAAAAGCAAGAUAUAAUACUGUGACUGACUGGAAGAGCCUUAGUUAAUUCAAAGACCGAUUGCGUCCAGCAGCAAGAAUUGCACAACAGCUACAAAUCAAAACAAUAGAGAAAAUGUCAGUGGGAGUAAAAGCCACAAUGUAAAAUAUAAGGGAUUCCACUGUACAAACUAGUGUCCAGUAGACUCAUACCAGAUCAAAUUUGUGCUUAAAUCACAGUAACUCCAGUCCCCUUAUAACUUCUAGCUUGUCUGGUGAUUCUUUAUUGCUAUAUAUUAUUUUCCCAUUCUUUUUUUUUUUUUUUAUUUUUUAAGCCACUAUAAAACUUUCCACAUGACAAAUGUCUGGGUACUCCACCUUUCUCUCCACAUAACCUUACUUUUUAAAGAAUCUGUCCAUCAGUCAAAUGAGGAGUUUUUUUCCUACCUGUAGUUCAUCAUGUGGCAAUAGGUAGCUAGGUCUGCUGAGAGCAGUAUCUCCAGCUAAGCAAAAUGCCUUUCCUUGCCAUGUGCAGAGACUGUGAAGCUGCAGAUCCACCAGGCAUGCCAGCACCUUCUGUUUAAAAUCUAUUUUUCCUUUGGGUUUGGGCCAACAGUUCAAAGCCAAUUGCAGUGGUUGAGUCCAGACUUCUAUGAAAUGGCUUUCUCGGGUAGUGUCUAAUACCUUUCCUUGACAGCCUUGUCAGUACUGGAGCAUGUUUCCACAUCUUGGCUUGGGGUUAAACACAUUCAAAAUGUUGUGCAAAAUGGAGGCUCAAAUACAAAAUGGAAUGCACAGUUUGAGUCUGCUGGAUCCCACUGUGUCAUGGCAUAAAUGGUACUCCCCCAGCUGCCUGGAAUGGCAGGCUCUCCACUGGUCUCCCUGCUCUGGAGAGAAAACAGUAAAACUAGACAUGGAAGUGGACAAUAAAAAAAGAUUGGAGGCAUGGAAUGACUUCCA
Molecule: long non-coding RNA, 1424 nt
Filed under: Cyanistes caeruleus (blue tit)
Lineage: Eukaryota; Metazoa; Chordata; Aves; Passeriformes; Paridae
Description: lncRNA (ENSCCEG00000010231.1)
Source: RNAcentral